This 76-nucleotide transfer RNA is filed under the name Desulforhopalus sp. RNAcentral describes it as "tRNA-Val". It matches the Rfam family "tRNA". Rfam says of the family: Transfer RNA (tRNA) molecules are approximately 80 nucleotides in length. Their secondary structure includes four short double-helical elements and three loops (D, anti-codon, and T loops). Further hydrogen bonds mediate the characteristic L-shaped molecular structure. tRNAs have two regions of fundamental functional importance: the anti-codon, which is responsible for specific mRNA codon recognition, and the 3' end, to which the tRNAs corresponding amino acid is attached (by aminoacyl-tRNA synthetases). tRNAs cope with the degeneracy of the genetic code in two manners: having more than one tRNA (with a specific anti-codon) for a particular amino acid; and 'wobble' base-pairing, i.e. permitting non-standard base-pairing at the 3rd anti-codon position. The record is from RNAcentral. Lineage: Bacteria; Pseudomonadati; Thermodesulfobacteriota; Desulfobulbia; Desulfobulbales; Desulfocapsaceae.
GGGCGACUAGCUCAGCUGGGAGAGCAUCGGCCUUACAAGCCGAGGGUCACAGGUUCAAACCCUGUGUCGCCCACCA